GAUGAACGCUAGCUACAGGCUUAACACAUGCAAGUCGAGGGGAAACGAUAGAGAAAGCUUGCUUUUUCUAGGCGUCGACCGGCGCACGGGUGAGUAACGCGUAUCCAACCUGCCCAUCACUUGGGGAUAACCUUGCGAAAGUAAGACUAAUACCCAAUGACGUCUCUAGAAGACAUCUGAAGGAGAUUAAAGAUUUAUCGUUGAUGGAUGGGGAUGCGUCUGAUUAGCUUGUUGGCGGGGUAACUGCCCAACAGGGCGACGAUCAGUAGGGGUUCUGAGAGGAAGGUCCCCCACAUUGGAACUGAGACACGGUCCAAACUCCUACGGGAGGCAGCAGUGAGGAAUAUUGAUCAAUGGACGAGAGUCUGAACAAGCCAAGUAGCGUGCAGGAUGACGGCCCUAUGGGUUGUAAACUGCUUUUAUAAGGGAAUAAAGUGAGUCGCGUGAGACUUUUUGCAUGUACCUUAUGAAUAAGGACCGGCUAAUUCCGUGCCAGCCGCCGCGGUAA
Molecule: ribosomal RNA, 508 nt
Filed under: uncultured bacterium
Lineage: Bacteria
Description: partial 16S ribosomal RNA
Rfam family: Bacterial small subunit ribosomal RNA
Source: RNAcentral